This 252-nucleotide ribosomal RNA is filed under the name uncultured bacterium. RNAcentral describes it as "partial 16S ribosomal RNA". It matches the Rfam family "Bacterial small subunit ribosomal RNA", at positions 524 to 776 of the family's 1533-position model. The record is from RNAcentral.
UACGUAGGGGGCAAGCGUUGUCCGGAAUUAUUGGGCGUAAAGCGCGCGCAGGCGGUUUCUUAAGUCUUGUGUUUAAUCCCGGGGCUCAACCUCGGUUCGCAUGGGAAACUGGGAAACUGGAGUGCAGGAGAGGAAAGUGGAAUUCCGCGUGUAGCGGUGAAAUGCGUAGAGAUGUGGAGGAACACUCGUGGCGAAGGCGGCCACCUGGACCAGUACUGACGCUGAGGCACGAAAGCGUGGGGAGCAAACAGG